UGGGGAAUAUUGCACAAUGGGGGAAACCCUGAUGCAGCAACGCCGCGUGAGUGAUGAAGGUUUUCGGAUCGUAAAGCUCUGUCUUUGGGGAAGAUAAUGACGGUACCCAAGGAGGAAGCCACGGCUCACUACGUGCCAGCAGCCGCGGUAAUACGUAGGUGGCGAGCGUUAUCCGGAUUUACUGGGCGUAAAGGGAGCGUAGGCGGAUGAUUAAGUGUGAUGUGAAAUACCCGGGCUCAACUUGGGUGCGGCAUUCCAAACGGGUUAUCUAGAGUGCAGGAGAGGAGAGUGGAAUUCCUAGUGUAGCGGUGAAAUGCCUAGAGAUUAGGAAGAACACCAGUGGCGAAGGCGACUCUCUGGACUGUAACUGACGCUGAGGCUCGAAAGCGUGGGGAGCAAACA
RNAcentral lists this ribosomal RNA (402 nucleotides) under uncultured prokaryote. RNAcentral describes it as "bacterial SSU rRNA". It matches the Rfam family "Bacterial small subunit ribosomal RNA", at positions 355 to 774 of the family's 1533-position model. The record is from RNAcentral.